AUGUUUUCCGAGAAGACUAAUACAUCAUUUCUGUAUUACGAUUCUGUACAAUAUCUUAUAACUGUGUGUGAACUUACAAUUAUCUCAAAAUUUAAUGAGUUUAAAAAAUCAGAUAUUUGGGGGCUAUAUUUGGUAAUAUAUUUGGUAAUGUAUUUUUGUAAUAUAUAUUUGGUUUGUUGCUAUCAAUUUAGUAUUAACAGGUUUCCCAUAAUGAACCACCCAUCACAUUGUAGAGUUAAAUCUAUGGCAUAUGAAUUUUUCUCUGUACUGAUAGACUUUGUUGAUUCAAUCUUUCAGUAUACUCUAGGAUUUUUACAUCCAUAUGCACAAUUGAAAUUAACCUGUAGUUCUGAUUUUGAAUGUUUUAUUAGCUUUGCAAAAAUAACUGGGAAACUUUCCAUCUUUUUAUAUGCUCUACUUAAGAUUAUAUACCAUGGAACUAUUUUGAAGUUUUUGGAAGAAUUCACCAUAAUGUUAGCUGGACCUACUGUAUUUCAUGGAGGACUAAGAGAACACAAGGACAUAAAUGCCAUGGUAGCCAUGUUAUUGAACUGUCACUGCCUGGUAUUUACUUCACUGAAAGGCAGAAUGCCACAUGACACAAGAUGAUGAUUUCUGUAGGUCUCCUGGGUUUCUACCAAAGCGUUCAGAAGACUGCUUCAUGAGACAACGAGAAGAAGCCUAUUUCAAUGAUUCCCCUAUAUCACUUGGGCAAAGCUGGGUCUGUGUGGGGCAGACCAGAUGGCUUCUCUUUUCUCUGCUCAGUAUGCAGUGAUGUUUGAGCCUGUAAAGGCAACCAAGGUGAACUCGCUCAUUGCACACAACAGGGUGGGUCGUUCACCACAGGGAGCUCUUGAGAGCACUCUGUCCACUCUCAUUUUAAACAUGCAAGCCACGGGAGUCCUGCCACUUUCCUUGCAAGAUUACCCUACAGUCUAAUAGACCUCAGCAUUAAGAAGAUUUUCAAUUGGUAAUUGGUAAUCAGCCUAAAUUUCCCUUCUCUUAAUUUCACCCCAUUAUGCCAAACCCUAUCCCCUGUUCCACCUAGUUCCUCACCUUCAUUAGUGUUUACGCUCUCCAAAUACUAAUAGAUAGCUGGAAAAAAAUGCUUGUGGUCAUCAGUGGCUCUAGAAAAGACAGCUACCACUUUGAAAAAGAAGUCAGUUCCUGCAUGUAUCGUUUUCCUUACACCUUAUCUUUCAUAGUAAGAGACUCGAGUAUUUUUUAACGGGAAAAAUAAGUCCUUAGGUGAAAGGCACAGCAAUCUGUAAUGGCCUUGCAGGUAAUAGAUACAUCCUUAAUGUGGGUGAGUCAUAACAGCAUAACUAGGUUCACCUCUCUUCGCCCUGCACACACUGAUAUAGAACCAACCCUUGAAACAAUUGGAUAAAACUUUUCCCCUUGAAGUAGUUUAUCUAUAUGUUCAUUCUUGUAUUAGGAAUGUUUAUUUAUCUCAUCACUUCUCACUAAUAUUAUAUAGCAUACAUCAUAUUUACUGUAUUAUUUAGAUCAUAGCUGUAAAUGUAAGGUCUUCAGAUAGUUCAUGGAUACUAGGUAUCAUGCAAAACUAUGCAUGGAAUUCAAAAAUUUUUUUGCACCACCAAAAAUAAAUUUACCUUUUAACUCCA
Long non-coding RNA from Oryctolagus cuniculus (rabbit), 1628 nucleotides. The record is from Ensembl. NCBI's taxonomy places the organism in Eukaryota, Metazoa, Chordata, Mammalia, Lagomorpha, Leporidae.